This 465-nucleotide ribosomal RNA is filed under the name uncultured bacterium. Its description in RNAcentral is "bacterial SSU rRNA". It matches the Rfam family "Bacterial small subunit ribosomal RNA", at positions 381 to 863 of the family's 1533-position model. The record is from RNAcentral.
CCCUGAUGCAGCGACGCCGUGUGGAGGAAGAAGGUUUUCAGAUCGUAAACUCCUGUGGUUAGGGACGAUAAUGACGGUACCUAACAAGAAAGCACCGGCUAACUACGUGCCAGCAGCCGCGGUAAAACGUAGGGUGCAAGCGUUGUCCGGAAUUACUGGGUGUAAAGGGAGCGCAGGCGGGAAGACAAGUUGGAAGUGAAAACCAUGGGCUCAACCCAUGAAUUGCUUUCAAAACUGUUUUUCUUGAGUAGUGCAGAGGUAGGUGGAAUUCCCGGUGUAGCGGUGGAAUGCGUAGAUAUCGGGAGGAACACCAGUGGCGAAGGCGGUCUACUGGGCACCAACUGACGCUGAGGCUCGAAAGCAUGGGUAGCAAACAGGAUUAGAUACCCUGGUAGUCCAUGCCGUAAACGAUGAUUACUAGGUGUUGGGGGAUUGACCCCCUCAGUGCCGCAGUUAACACAAUAA